GGCUGGUGCUGGGCAGGCGCGGAAGGGGCAGACUGCUGUCACCGGGGAGCGGGCGUGGGCCAGAGCCGAGGUGAUUUCUCACUAGUCCUCGCCCGGCCCCGCGUGGCUGAAGGUCUCCGAAUCCCUCGGUCAGCCCCGGCCAGCCAGGAGCACAGCUGUCGCGGGAAAGGCAGCUAAACGUGGCCCCGGCGCUGUUUUGACAGGCCGCGGAGAAAGAGAAAGGGGCUCACUGCGGCGAGCAGUCGCAUCCAACCCCGGGCUAGGAAACCCCGAGAGCAAACCCCAGCCCCGGCGCAAACCGUGGACCGCGGAGCCACCGACUCGGCCCAGCCCAACAGGGGACCGCCCAGGGGCCACUCCCCAAGGGAGGCAGCCAGUCACUCGCUCGCCCAGUCGGGCCCGCACCCGAGGGGACGGGCUCCCGCCCGCCCUCAACACAGCUCCUCACGCCAGGCCCCCAGGGCUUCGGCCACCUCUCACCUUUGACGACGCGGGCCAUGUGCUAAAACAAACAGAAACCUCUCUCUCCUGUCCUCCUGACUCCAGAUUGGGGGGCAUAACUGCUUUGCCUCCAGUCGUCAUCUGGGGGAAUAUCUACUCUUCGAGGACCAGAUGUUCGUGACACUGGAACAGAGGCUGCGUUCCAAGCUGCCCUCGGGGGUAAAUGAAGACUGCUGGAUGGUGGGGACACAGGGUGAACAAUGGAAGAGUGGUGGGGUGAAUGGAAAAGAUCUCCCCAGGAUUGAGAAUGAGGAACCUGGAAGCUCUGGCAUCUCUCUGCUAGUGUGGCAGUGUGGGUUAGCUGAGGCUUGCAUCCUGGGGUACUUGGGAGUCUGGCCCUAAUGUGCUGGUUGGGCUCUGACCAGGGUCCCAAGGAGGCAUCAGUUCUAGAACGAUGGGGGAGACUCCGAUAGGUUAAAGUCCUUCCUGUGUACUUGACCCCUUGGGAAGUUUCACUCCUGUCACACAUAGCCAGAAACUGCUGGACAUUCCUCGAACUUCCUGAGGAAAGAAAAGAAACCCAGAGACUGAGUAUCUUCAUAAAAUAAUUCUCCUUCCACAGAUCAUUCCUGACUGUUCUACCCAAUUCAUUAUUCCAGCAAAAGCAUACAUACAAUACCUAGUUUUGCUUUUAAUUUUAUUUUUUAAAAUUCUUAAUUAUAUCAAAAGAAAGUCUCUUACUGUCAACUUAGACAAAUUACACAGUCUCCUAAAUGUUGUCAUACUUACCUUGCUCCAUUAUAAUUCCUGUUAACACACACACGGCCCCCAAAAUAGCAGAUAUACUAAUGUUGCAAUAACUAAUUCUUGAGCAACUACUCUAGUCUCACUUAGCUUUUCUUUUUUUUUUUCGGUCUUUUUCCUUCCAGGGAUCGAACUCACAACUGCCUGCUUGCAAGGCAGGUGCUUAUGCCACUGAGCUAAAUCCCCAGCCCCUACUUAGCUUUUCUUAACGUGGCGGUACCUUUAGUAAGGCUGCCUGUGCUAACUUUCCUGCUCAAUCUUUUGUUCAUACCACUCUUCCUAAAUAUACAAUAUAGAAUGCCUUUUCUAUGAAUUUAUUCAAUAUUGACACUAUUGAUAUCAUUGCUGUUAUGGAUUAAAAACUGAUAGUCAACUUAACAACAGCUGAAUUAAAUCAGCAUGGUGCUAAGCGUAGAUGUUCCACCUGAGGAAAGUUGCCAGCAUAAAUACAGACAUGGAGAAAGAGAAGCUAGGUGUUGCUGUUUGAGCCGUUGGUUCUUCUGGAGGAGCUUGUCAUGACUAGCUUCCCCAGUGAGAGUUUGACCAUUGUCAACAGAGGAGCUCAGGACCUUGUUGGUGAGAGUGGCUAUGGUUCACUUUGGGGGGGCACUGGUCCUUACAAUGAGCAUCACUUCCUGGCUCCAGAAGGGAAGACAUGCCAUUUAAUCUUCAGGAGAAACUCCUCAUGCUGGCGUUUCUAUCAUUGGAGGAGCUUGGGACCUCCGUGUCGCUGAGGAUGGCUGUGGUGCUUUUCAGAACAGCCCUGGUCUUUAUUAUGAGUGUGACUUCUUGGCUCCAGUGUAGAACCCUCAACCUACCAGCACAGCUCCUUCAUCCUACUGGCAUAGACUUUCCAGCUUCCAUCGCUGAUCUUUGAGCCUUCCCAGCGGAGAUCCGUAAAACAUACUGGCGUGAGUCCUUCUUGUGGGCUGUAGCCCUCCAGUUGGACUCAUCGGAGGCAUUGUUAUGGGCUGUAGGUUUUCAUCUGGACUCAUGCAGGCCAUUGCUGUGGGAUCCAGGCCCUUGGAUGAAUAUUCUGAGUCUUUAGCAUCGUGGACAGAUUUUCUGUACUUUCUUGUGUUAAACUCUGGGUGACUAUCAUAAAAUUAUAAAUUCUGUGUCCU
Molecule: long non-coding RNA, 2369 nt
Organism: Cavia porcellus (domestic guinea pig)
Lineage: Eukaryota; Metazoa; Chordata; Mammalia; Rodentia; Caviidae
Exons: 2
Source: RefSeq, a predicted model, not a curated record